GAGACACAUGGGUUUCCUGUUCUCAACUUCUCAUGUUUGAUUUUAAUUCUUUUGCUUUUUGGUUAACCAGAGCUCAGAAUCAAGAUUAAGAAAGUAGUUGAGCACAAAGCAAACAAGGUGAUGUUUGCCCAUAGAUGCCUGAUGAUGAUCAUUUCCUGAAGAGUACAAUGCUGGGUGGAUAUUCUUCUACCUUAGCAGAUGAGAUCGAUGGUAUUUCAAGUGGACAAGAUGAGACACUGACGGGAAAAGAAGCUUUGCCCUCCGAACAGGAAGCCUAGGCUCUAGACUGGGUAUCUCUUAAAGUAAUCAUACUUUUGAUGUGUUUUGUGUGAUCCUCAUAUUCGUUAGUUAGUUAACCCAUAUGCUAUACAUUCCUCUUACGUGCAUUUGAGGAUUGGCUAUGCAUGACCUUAUCAUUUUGGUCAUGACCGUGCAAAGAAAUGAUGGCUCGGCUGUAGGGGCAUAUCAACAGAUGCUAGCUUGAGUUGGUCCUUUGUUCUCAAUGGAUUUGUUAUUAUUAUGCCCUGUCACCCAACAUACAUUGUUCUGGAUUUGCACCUCCUAUUUUAUUCUGUUGUACUGUCCAAGGGCAAGCAAAUAUUGUGGUUAGCAUAUAAGACUAAGUUGUAUUGAAUCUUUAAUAGUUGUCAUAA
Triticum dicoccoides is the source of this 653-nucleotide long non-coding RNA. RefSeq lists it as uncharacterized. Lineage: Eukaryota; Viridiplantae; Streptophyta; Magnoliopsida; Poales; Poaceae. The record is from RefSeq and is a predicted model, not a curated record. The transcript is spliced from 4 exons.